UAGGUAUACCAGUGCAAUUUCAUAGAUAUAGCCUAUGGGAUAACAGGAUCAUCUCAGUAAUAUUUUUAAGUUAAUUAUUUAAAUUUUAUUAUAAUAUUUGUAUUUAGAGUAUGUAUAGUACAGUUUAUACUGCAGAACUUCUUCUUUAUCGUAUAUAUAAUAGAUUUAUAGAAACAAUUGCGACAAAAGUAGCUUGGCAAAUACAAAAUAUUGAGAAACUAUCACGUAUAAGUAUAAACUACACGCGAUUAUUAUUGCGCCUUUGGCUUUGAAUAAUUAUUCGCCGAAGGCGAGGCCGUGAUUAUCCGGGAAUUUGUAGUCUCCCUCGCAGGCGCCCGAGUUGUGUACGUUCUCUCUGAUGUCUGCGAAGGAGGCUAGGGAAUUUGUCAAAUUUGACCAAUCAACUUGACAACUUGUAGGAUUUGUUGUACUAUUUAUUCACUUGCGCAAAAAUACUAAUGACGGUAUUGUUCAUCUUUGCAUAAUAGUUUACACCGGUUUAACGCCUGCCCAAAUAGGCUGUGUUUACAAUGUAUUUUGUCUGUGUCAGUUUUAGCUUUUAAUAAAUGUAUUCAGCCAUAGUGAACACGAAAACUCUCAU
Molecule: non-coding RNA, 601 nt
Organism: Paramuricea clavata
Lineage: Eukaryota; Metazoa; Cnidaria; Anthozoa; Malacalcyonacea; Plexauridae
Source: the annotation of a GenBank genome assembly